Molecule: long non-coding RNA, 6699 nt
Organism: Mustela erminea (ermine)
Lineage: Eukaryota; Metazoa; Chordata; Mammalia; Carnivora; Mustelidae
Exons: 3
Source: RefSeq, a predicted model, not a curated record
AAAGAGUCGGAAGCUUAACAAACUGAGCCACCCAGGAGCUUGUGUCCAGUCUUUAGUCAUUAAGAAUCACUGAGGUCUACAGAGAGAAAUCAUCUGCUGGCCUAAGGGACCACGAUGAGUUUCAUUUUUCCUCACAAGCAUCCUGCUUUUGAGGCCAUACAUUGGGCUCCAGCUGGCACAGGUGCUAGGGUGGGGUGGGCAGGUGUGGCAGGCUCAGUCUGUGGGGUUGAGGGCGAGGAUGCCUGGGACUUGCAGCCGGUUUUCCUUCCUCCUGCCCCUCCUCCUUGUUGUUUAAGACUCAUUCAGUUUAAGUGACAGAGACCUGGCUUACAGUAAAUGAAAUAAACAAGGGAUGUCAUGAGCCCGAUGACUCUUGGGGUCCUGAUGAGUUCAGGCAUGGCUGCAUCCAGGGGUUCAGGGCUUGUUUCAUCACAUGUUCUCUACCUUUCAGCUCUAUUACUCUCUGUCUCAAUAUGGUCUUCCCCAUGUGGGGACCACUGGCAACUCCUGGCUUAAAUUGCUGCCAUGGUAGCAAUCAGAAAUGGAGAGCACUCCUUUCUCGAUGGUUCCUGCUAGCAUCCUGGAGAGGGCUUUGUUGGGCCCCACUUAGGUUACAGGCCCCUCUUUGAACCAAUCGUUGUGAUGUAAGCCUGGCCUGAGUUUCUUGCUCAUGUUUAGGAUUGAAAGUGAGGGUCAGAUCCCCAAACCCUGGAAUGGAUGGAUGUUUUACAUGAAAGCAAGAGGAAGGUGAAUGUGCCGAGCAGAUGAAAACAGUUACCACUGCACUCUAUCUGGACUCUGGGUCCCCAUGUCCAGAUCUCUUCAUGGGCUCCAGACUUGCCUGCCCAGCUGCCUCCAGGGCUCCCUCCCUGGUGACUCCGUGCUUCUGAAAUGGAAAGUGGUCUCCACUUUCUUAGAUUCCACUCUUUCUUGGGUGGGAAUCCCAGGAUCACCCCUCUCCUCCCUCUCCAUGACCCGUAUAUCCAGCCUGCCACUGUCCUAGAUGUCUCCGGACUUUAUCCAUGUUCCCAUCCCUCCACAAUGCCUGAUCCCAAGCCCUGUCUUUUGCACCUGUGAUGAAGAUCUGCUGCUAUUUGGUCUGUCCCCAGUAACUCUUUCUCCUUGCAGCAGCCACACUGAUUUUCAUAAACCAUAUAUUAAGUUAUGUCACUCCUUGCUCAAGAUCUUUCAGUGAUUCUUAUUGCCCUUAAAAAAAAAAAAAAUCCAAACCCGGAAAAAUAUCCAAAUCUACCAUCCUGGCAUUCAGGACAAACUAUGAUCUGGCCCAGUGGCCUCCAGUUUCAUCUGUCAGAGUGUCCUUCUCAUGCCUGUGCCCCAUCACACUGAGCUUUUAGUUCCCCCAACACAGGACACCCCUCAUCCCAGGACCUUUGCAUAGGUUGUGUCCUUGCCUAGACCACUCUUUUACCUUCGUCUUUACCUGGCUCACUCCGUAGGUCUCAGCUAAAUGGCAUUUCAUCCAGGAAGCGAUCUUAGGCAUUGUCAUGCCAGGUUGCACCCUGUGCUUCUUGGUAACGUGUACCAUGCGUAAUGUGUACCCACCCAGCUGUGUUCGCAGGGCCCCGCUCUGGCUGGGCAGACCUCACCAGGGAGCUGUGAAAUGAGAGUUCCCAGGGAGAGGGGGCCAGAAGCCUAUGGAGGAAAUGGUUGGGGACUUGCUCCCGAGACCCUGUGUAGCCCCCAGAGCUGGCCCAUCUUUCCUCAUCUGCUCUCUUGCCAAUCCCAGAAUGCCUACACUCCCUGGGGAAGACCCCCUUGGAGAAUGGUUGAAAACUCUGCCUCCUUUCCCAUAGGAAAGCACUUGUGCAUAACAUGUGGUUUUAUGGUUUUCCUGCACCUACUUUGGGGUUCAUAAAACUUGAGUUCAAAACCCUUGGUCUAAAUCAAUCCGAGUAAGAGAGGGAAGACCCUCCCCCACCUCCCCAUUCCUGUAUGGGGAAGUGUUGGUUGGGAGUGAGGAGAUGUUGGGCUGGGCUCUGGCAAGUCAUCUUCCGGACCCUGAGUAAAUCCUCUCACCACUGGCCUCAGUUUGUCCAGGUGGAAACUGGGGGCUGGAGUUAACCAUUUCUGGGACACUCCCAGGGCAACUCCAGGUGCCUUAGGGACCAGAUGGGGAUCAAACACAAGUGAGGUGACAGGGUUGGAGGAGGGAGAUGUAGGGACCCUGGCGAGCCCAAGCCCCACCUCCCUUGAGAAAGUGUUGCCCCUCAGGAGUGUGGGCUCCUUGCUGCUGAGCUCCCCAUUGUUUCUUCAGAGAAACCGUGUUUCUGAGUGUGUUGGUAUCACAUCCAGUGAGAAGACCCUGUAUGGGCCCUGAGGACCCCUGACAGGGCCACCAGAGGCAGUGUGGAAGUGUUGGGAGGUGUGCUGGCAGCAGGAUCUGAGAUGCGCCAGGGGUUCCUGCUGGCAGGGGCUGGGAACUUGCUUGAACCCAGCCUGACUUUAUCAUCCAUCACCCUAUGCCUCAGCUUCCAGCACGUCUACAACCUUCUGGCUGGCCACCCCACCACAUCUCACUGGGAGUGACUUGGUGGAAGGGAAGGAGCAUCUCAGAGGCUGUUCCCUGCCUGGGCGGGGUAGGGACGUGCACUGAUCAGUGGCUGCCACUAUGGAGGCGGACUUGUCAGGGGUUCGUGCUAUAGGGGGCGAGUAGCAGCCUGUGACCCUGACCCACCACCCCAUUUGCCUUGUGGUGGCCCCUCAGUUUGGUGUAGGUGCAUCCAUGAUCUGAAAGCCAGACUCAUUUAUCUGUCUUCCGCCUGGACUCGUUAAAAAUCACAGGCAGCCAGUAGCUGAUUGCCAGGCGCUGGGGUAAAGACGGGAAUGUGGCGUUAUUGUUAAUGGUUACAGAGUUUAAGUUUUACAAGAAAACAAGAGGUCUGAUGAUGGUUGCGCAACAUUAGGAAAGCAUUUAAGAGCACCGAACGACACCAAAAGUGGUUAAGACGGUGAAAAAGGGCAUCUGAGGACUCGUGGGAUUCGGUAGGUAGUUCAGAGGUGCAGUGGUGCCCCUUGAGCCCAGCUCGUCCAGUUUUCCUCUCCAGUGGGACUCUGUUCUCUGGGGUACUAGUGGUUGCUGCUGUCCCCACACCCCUCUCACCCCCACACACAGCUUGGUGGGAAAAGGAAGCCAUUUUUGGGAGGUUCCCGCCACGGUCUUGAGCUUCACUCUGAUUGGGCGGGAUUGGAUCACGGGACUUUCCCAUAGCCAAUCACUGUGGCCCAGGAAUGCUGUGCGCUGACUGGCUCUAGCCCGAGUCACGUGCGCCAGCCGCUGCCUAGAAUUGUCUGCUGAGAGGGCUUCGGGGUCGCGACCGUCAGUCAUGGCCGCGUUACUCUUCUACAGGCUGAGGGCCCUGCUAACCGCGCUGCCCCUCAAGAAAAGGCGGCCAGAGAAUCAGUGUCUAUGCCCUUUACCUCUGCUGCGGCAUGUGCCCAGUCCCUGCAUUCGUCCUGUGAACUAGCACCUUUCACAGGGUGAAAGGUGCCCCUUUCACAGAUGAGGAAACUGAGGCUUGGUGAGUUCCUGGGAUCUGUGGGCUCUCCAGGUGUGGGGUCGCCUCGGUGCACGGAAUCCUCUAGGGACAGGCAGAGCGGAGCCCAGCUCGGCCCCUCAGGGAAGGCCAGCACAGUCGAUCACUGAUCUCAGAGCCUGAGCCGGGGAGGCCGCCUCUUCCCGAGUCAUCCCUUGUGACCCUGCGGUGACUUCACCGCGUCGUCGUGUGUGUCUGGCGCUGGUUGUGGCGCGUAACGGCGCCGCCCAUUCCCGUGUUGGCUUCAGGCUCUUACCGUCCCGUGGCCAGCCGUGGCAGCCGGUCCCCCUGUGCCCCCAGCACUUGGGGAGUGUGGAGUGAUGCCAGGGGUCAGCCGGGAGGUAGGGAAGGCCAGAGCGUCGCCCAGGCCUGCUGUGGGGACCAUGAGUGCCACAGCCAAGGGGAGCAGUCUGGAGAAACUCAUCUGCCCCGAGCCAUGGGGACGCCCUCCAGGGGCCUGGUGUGCCCGCCUAGCAUCCAGGCUGGCUUUGCUGUGUGGCGGCCUGAGCCUCCCCAGUCUGGUCGCUGAAAUCCAUACUGGCAAAUGCCUAUGGAUCCCUUCCUGGGACCCUCGGUCUACCAGUGGGCAGACACAUCCUUCAUUACCCUCCCUGCCCUCCUCUGCUGGGGCAGCCUGGGGGAACGUACGUGCGUGUUUGUGCACCUUUGUGUGGGGAUGGGUGUGUGUGUGUAUGUGGAAAGGUGUGCUUGGGUAUGUGUGUGCAUGCCUAUCUGUAUGAGUGUGACAUGAAUAUGUAUGUACCUGCGUGUGAAUGUGUGUCUAUGCUUGUGAGUUUGUGCAUUGGAGUGAGCAUGUGUGUGAGUGCGUGCCUUGGUGUGAGUGUGCAUGUAUUUGUAGGGUGAGCACGUGCAUUCAAGUGUGAGUGUGUAAGCAUGGUCGUGUGUGUUCUUGCCAAGGGCUUUCUGCAGGGGAGGGGACUGAGACAGGGGAGAGGUACCCAGGGGAGAGGAAGACCCUAGCCCUCUGAAUCCUGGCACCACCUUGGGCCCCCUCCUCCCACACUGGCAUGCGCUCUGAAAUGGGAGGGCCCAGGUAGGAGCCUCUUGCUCUGCUGCUUAUGUUUCAUAUUAAAUGUCAACUGUCCACCAGGUCUGCGGUGCUGCCAUUAAUAUGGAGAAGUUAUUACAGAGCCUGGAGCUGGCUCCUCGGGCUCAUCCAUGAAUUUCAAUUACCUUGCACGUCUACUCUAGGCCUGUGGAGUGGGGCUCACAGCUUCUGCUUGGAGGCAGAGGGAACUCGGCAUCCAGAACCCCAGCCCAGGCAGUGCGGAGGGGCUAUGCGGGCCCUGCACCUCUCCUCCUUGCCCCGCAAGUUUCACGAGAGCACGGACUUGGUGUGGAUGGAGGCUGCUGUGUCACACAGUCCACUCUGCCCUGUGUAGCUGGGCAGUCUGGAGGAGGGCUGAAAUGCAUAAAACUUGUUUUCCUUGCUUGCAAAGUUGCGGGGGAGGAGCCCGUCCACGCUUGCUGGGCAUUGAAAGAGUGUGUGUGCAACAAGUACUUAGUCCAGGCCUGGGGUUUGGGAGAUACUGACCGUUUAUGCCUUUCAUCAGAUCUGAGAUGCCAUCAGUUAUAGGGCACACACUCCCAAUUACACUGCACCAUGGCACCCUAACUACAGUCCUAAGAGGCAUAGACACCAGCAGCCCUGCCCCCAGUUGCUCCAAACAGUGGGCCUUUCCUCCCUUUUCACUUGCUUGGCUUACUUAGUGUGUGACUGCCUUCUUUUCUGGGUGUCUUCCUCUCUUUGGUAAAGCAUGGAGUUGCAGUCCUUCCUCCAGGAUGUUUCCUCACUGAUGCCAAAGCUAUCCACUCCGUUGUCUCUGUGCUUUUGUGCGCGCAUCAUCAUUUUUUUUUUUGCCAUCUUGGUGUGACUUUUUGAAGACAUUUUGGAUAGUAGGGAUCUCAACACAGGAAGUGCUGAUCCUACAUGCAAUUCAGGGAUUUGGGACUUAUUUGGCAAAUAAGGUGUAUUUCUCUAUCAUGCAAGACUUGUCCAAGUGGCCAGUCUGAUUGGGACAGAGCUUCUGAAGGUAUACAGUUAUACUGUCUAUAAAUGAUGAUAAUUUCGGAGGCUCGUUUCCAAUCAGCACCAUCUAGAACCUUCAGAGUAAUGUUAAGUAACAGCAGCAGCUUUGUGCAUCCGAGUCUGCGCCUGGCUCUGAUGGGAACGCCCCUGGCAUUUCUCUGCUUAAUAAAAUAUAAUGCUUGCUCGUGGACUAAGAUGGAUUUCGUGAGAAGGCAAUAUCCUCUGAAUUCUAGUUUUCUGAGGUCCUAUUUUUAUCAGCACAGGAGCUCAAAUCUAGAUUAAAUUUGUCUAACACCUCACACACCACUGCCUCCCUCCCUGCCCCCGACCCCCAAAGCCAGAGGCGUUAGACAAUUCCCAGGGACUGUGUUUCCCAAGGACCUGGAACUCUGGGCUGCUGGCAGGUCCCCUGAGUUGCCUACUUGCUGGCCCUGAAAUGCAAGCCAGCUCCAUUUCCAGCUGUCAGGGCCCCUCCCAGGAAGAGGCUGGGGCAUGCUGCUGAGGAAGGUGGUGGAGGCUGAACUGCCCAGCCGAGCAGGUGGCUUCCAGGAGAGCUGGAACCAAUUCUUAGAAAGCCCACGUGGGGACAAAUUGCCAGCUGACAUGCUGGGUUCUCCCUCUCUCAGUGGUGUGUCUCCCAACCUUCAGUUUUUCCCGAGUCUUAUAGAAGGCUUUACCCUCUUGCUUAGUGGUUGAUUCCUGCCCACAUGCCCCUACCCCCUUGGGGUCCCACUGGUACCUUAGUUCCCACAUGUUUCUAGAAGGUCUUUCCUGAAAGACUCUCGUUCCCAUAGAGGGAAUCUGUGACCUGUUGUGUAGAGAAUAAAAUUGUUCUCCAUUGUGUUGUCUGUCUCUUUCCCCACAGAUGGGCAUGGGAUUUGGGCACCUUUGAACAAUAUCUGUGCGGGGGUCCCAGCCUGAGAGAUUCUGAUUUAUCAGAUGUGGGUAGGACUUGGGGGUCUGUGUUUUUCAAGAGCUACAAGGGAGAGUCUUAUGCAUAGCCAUUGGGCAUGCACUGAGGGUCAGGAGGUAUGAGGCUGGACAGAACCAGGUUCAGGGCUGACUCUCCACUUGGCUGGCCUGUGACCCUCAGUU